GAUCAUGGCUCAGGACGAACGCUGGCGGCGUGCCUAAUACAUGCAAGUCGAGCGAAUGACGAGAAGCUUGCUUCUCUGAUUUAGCGGCGGACGGGUGAGUAACACGUGGGCAACCUGCCCUACAGAUUGGGAUAACUCAGGGAAACCUGGGCGUAAUACCGAAUAAUCCUUCCGAAUCACAUGUUUUGUAAGUUGAAAGGACGCUUCGGCGUCACUGUAGGAUGGGCCCGGCCGGUGCAUUAG
RNAcentral lists this ribosomal RNA (243 nucleotides) under uncultured bacterium. Its description in RNAcentral is "partial 16S ribosomal RNA". It matches the Rfam family "Bacterial small subunit ribosomal RNA", at positions 15 to 244 of the family's 1533-position model. The record is from RNAcentral.